GCUUUUGAAGAAGAGACUGAGCAUCUGAGAACAAAAUGUCUCCUGCAUCCAGUCAUAAUCAUUCACUGCCAGACCUAUAUGUUCCUGUGAGGUCUCCCCAGCUAACUCACCAAUAAUUCCAUGUAUGGAAGGAAGACAGAUAAGGGUAACUGGAUUUGGUUCACUGUUUCUUUUGCCGCUUCUGUUAAUUUGGAGAGACAUAUGCGACUUUGUGCUUCACUAGAGGAGUACAGACUUCAUGAGGGUCUGACCCGGCUCCACCCAGUUGAUCCAGGUGAACAAGGUGUCUGUUCAGCGGAGCCCAGAGACCUCGUAAGAAACCACCCAGCACUGAAUACCAGUUCUGUGAUUGUCUCCACCCUUCUCAAGACCCAGAAUUCAGAUUCAGGCCUGUUACUGGAUAUUCACAGCAUCAAUGCUGGAAAAUAUCGAAAAUAUUACACAUCCGGGCUAGCACACAGCUGA
This 465-nucleotide long non-coding RNA is filed under the name Felis catus (domestic cat). RNAcentral describes it as "lncRNA (ENSFCAG00000046667.2)". The record is from RNAcentral. Lineage: Eukaryota; Metazoa; Chordata; Mammalia; Carnivora; Felidae.